UACGUAGGGGGCAAGCGUUGUCCGGAUUUAUUGGGCGUAAAGAGCGUGUAGGCGGCUAUACAGGUCCGUUGUGAAAACUCGAGGCUCAACCUCGAGACGCCGAUGGAAACCGUAUGGCUAGAGUCCGGAAGAGGAGAGCGGAAUUCCUGGUGUAGCGGUGAAAUGCGCAGAUAUCAGGAGGAAGACCAGUGGCGAAGGCGGGUCUCUGGACAGUUCCUGACGCUGAGGCACGAAGGCCAGGGGAGCAAACGGG
Molecule: ribosomal RNA, 253 nt
Filed under: uncultured bacterium
Lineage: Bacteria
Description: partial 16S ribosomal RNA
Rfam family: Bacterial small subunit ribosomal RNA
Source: RNAcentral